UGGCAGGACUAGGGCAACAUCUGUUUGCAGCCUUUGAAUGGUAUAGUGCUGAGAUUUACUUCUGGGCACAGUGACUACAUAUACUCAGCAACAGCAUGGCAAGAUUGAAGCUGAACAGAAGAAAGGAUCAAAGACUGAAACUGCAAUACUGUCCUUGCUGUAGGACACACUGGAGCAAACUUAAACUAUUAAAUGUUCCAUGUCAUCAAGUGAUUCUCAGAAAAUAUUUAGCCUAUCCAUCAGUAAUAGAUUAAAAAAGGAACCAUGGGGACACUGAUUGUUCAGACACUGUUUGGAGAAACCUUCUGAUUUUCAAAUGCUUAUUGGAAAAUCACUGAGAAGCCUGACAGCCAAUCAGGAGCAGAGUUGCUGUGCUAAAUCCAAUCACUUGGGAGGGACGAACCACUGCAUCGAAACUCUGGGGAGAGUGCAAGGAAGAUUGAGGAUCAGAGGGAAGGAGGAGUUGAAAUUACAUUGGCUGCUGGCAGAUGAAUUAGUUUCAAUAUAAGUUUUCAGCACCUGAUUUCAAUAGUGUCAGAAAUUUCACCUGAACUUCAACUGUUUAGCUAGCUCAGCACUUGUUUAUUAUAUUUUAUACAUAUGUAUAUGAAGAUAAUUUCAGGAAAUAUGAAUUUGCUGUGGAUGUAGGUGGAAAAUAAGUGUUUUCCAUUCACUUGUUUUAUGUUUCAUAAAAUCUCAGAAACGUUUCACAGCGGACCCUUAUGCAUGCAGAUUGUUCCCACAUGUUCCUCAAAGCUGCGCCCUUCCACAGCUGCAUUCUAGAAACUCCGCCAAAAAUAAAAGCCCUUAUAACACACCCUCUGCACCCAGCCUGUGCAUAAGAGAGCAUCCUAAAAAGGUCAGGUGUUGGUGCAUGGUCACAAACACAAGUAAUACACAGCAUGUGUUCACUGUUAGGUGACAGCAGCGAUGUCCAGCAGAUUAGAGUCCUUAGGCACAUGGCAUAGUGAUGGUUGAGCU
Alligator mississippiensis (American alligator) is the source of this 981-nucleotide long non-coding RNA. RefSeq lists it as uncharacterized. The transcript has 5 exons. NCBI's taxonomy places the organism in Eukaryota, Metazoa, Chordata, Crocodylia, Alligatoridae. The record is from RefSeq and is a predicted model, not a curated record.